Molecule: ribosomal RNA, 334 nt
Filed under: uncultured bacterium
Lineage: Bacteria
Description: bacterial SSU rRNA
Rfam family: Bacterial small subunit ribosomal RNA
Source: RNAcentral
AGGGUUUGAUUAUGGCUCAGGAUGAACGCUGGCGGCGUGCUUAACACAUGCAAGUCGAACGAAGAUGCCGGAGUGCUUGCACUUUGGCAGACUGAGUGGCGGACGGGUGAGUAACGCGUGGGUAACCUGCCUUAUACAGGGGGAUAACAGUUGGAAACGACUGCUAAUACCGCAUAAGCGCACGGUAUCGCAUGAUACAGUGUGAAAAACUCCGGUGGUAUAAGAUGGACCCGCGUCUGAUUAGCUUGUUGGUGAGGUAACGGCCCACCAAGGCGACGAUCAGUAGCCGGCCUGAGAGGGUGAACGGCCACAUUGGGACUGAGACACGGCCCAA